Molecule: ribosomal RNA, 1918 nt
Filed under: Pilophorus typicus
Lineage: Eukaryota; Metazoa; Arthropoda; Insecta; Hemiptera; Miridae
Description: SSU rRNA
Rfam family: Eukaryotic small subunit ribosomal RNA
Source: RNAcentral
AGUAGUCAUAUGCUUGUCUCAAAGCCUAAGCCAUGCAAGUCUUCGUACAAACUGCAUUAAAGUGAAACCGCAAAAGGCUCAGUAAACCAGUCAUGAUUUACGUGAGUAAACGUGACUGUCUUUGGAUAACUGUGGUAAUCCUAGAGCUAAUACAUGCAAUCAAGUCCCGACCAGUUCCACUGGGAAGGACGCUUUUAUUAGAUCAAGACCAAUCGCCCGGCCUCGGUCGGGCGUCGCCUUGGUGACUCUAGGUAACACAUCAGAUCGCACGGUCUCGCACCGGCGACUCAUCCUUCAAAUGCCUGACUUAUCAACUGACGAUGGUAGACUCCAUGUCUACCAUGGUGAUAACGGGUAACGGGGAAUCAGGGUUCGAUUCCGGAGAGGGAGCCUGAGAAACGGCUACCACAUCCAAGGAAGGCAGCAGGCACGCAAAUUACCCACUCCCGGCACGGGGAGGUAGUGACAAAAAAUAACGAUACGGGACUCAAUUGAGGCCCCGUAAUCGGAAUGAGUACACUUUAAAUCCUUUAACAAGGAUCCAUUGGAGGGCAAGUCAGGUGCCAGCAGCCGCGGUAAUUCCUGCUCCAAUAGCGUAUAUUAAAGUUGUUGCGGUUAAAAAGCUCGUAGUUGGUUCUGCGUGCCACGCUGUCGGUUCGCCGCCUGCCGGUGCUACUGGCAUGUCGUGGCAUGUCCUGUCGGUGGGUGUUCGGGGCCCCGUGCGGGCGGCAGGAGGCCAGGUGCAAACCUGUGCUCCUCUCUGCACGUCGGCGGGUUCACUCCGGCUCCCUACUAUCCUACCUAGGUGCUCUUCACCGAGUGUCGAGGUAGGCCGACACGUUUACUUUGAACAAAUCAGAGUGCUUAAAGCAGGCUGAAAAAUUCUGCCUGAAUGAUGGCGCAUGGAAUAAUAAAACAGGACCUUGGUUCUAUUUUGUUGGUUCUUAGGAACACAAGGUAAUGAUCAAUAAGGACAGGCGGGGGCAUUCGUAUUGCGGGGUUAGAGGUGAAAUUCUUGGAUCCUCGCAAGACGACCGAGAGCGAAAGCAUUUGCCAAGUAUGUCUCGAUUGAUCAAGAACGAAAGUUAGAGGUUCGAAGGCGAUCAGAUACCGCCCUAGUUCUAACCAUAAACGAUGCCAGCCAGCGAUCCGCCGAUGUUCCUCCGAUGACUCGGCGGGGAGCUUCUCCCCGGGAAACCAAAGCUUUUGGGUUCCGGGGGAAGUAUGGUUGCAAAGCUGAAACUUAAAGGAAUUGACGGAAGGGCACCACCAGGAGUGGAGCCUGCGGCUUAAUUUGACUCAACACGGGAAACCUCACCAGGUCAGGACAUUGUAAGGAUUGACAGAUUGAUAGCUCUUUCUUGAUUCAGUGGGUAGUGGUGCAUGGCCGUUCUUAGUUGGUGGAUCGAUUUGUCUGGUUAAUUCCGAUAACGAACGAGACUCUAGCCUAUUAACUAGACGAUCCGAGAGCCCACGUCUCUCGCGACAAUCACUCUUCUUAAGGGGACAGGCGGCUUAUAGUCGCACGAGAUUGAGCAAUAACAGGUCUGUGAUGCCCUUAGAUGUCCUGGGCCGCACGCGCGCUACAAUGAAAGAAUCAGCGUGUGUCUCCCUGCCCGAGAGGGCUGGGUAAUCCGCUGAACCUCUUUCGUGCUUGGGAUUGUAGCUUGCAAUUGUUCUUCAUGAACGAGGAAUUCCCAGUAAGCGCGAGUCAUAAGCUCGCGUUGAUUACGUCCCUGCCCUUUGUACACACCGCCCGUCGCUACUACCGAUUGAAUGAUUUAGUGAGGUCUUCGGACCGGCGGGAAAUCCCUAUCGCUUCGGCGGUAUCGACGAACGCUGGGAAGAUGACCAAACUUGAUCAUUUAGAGGAAGUAAAAGUCGUAACAAGGUUUCCGUAGGUGAACCUGCGGAAGGA